GACGAACGCUGGCGGCGUGCUUAACACAUGCAAGUCGAACGGAAAGGCCCUGCUUUUGUGGGGUGCUCGAGAGGCGAACGGGUGAGUAACACGUGAGUAACCUGCCCUUGACUUUGGGAUAACUUCAGGAAACUGGGGCUAAUACCGGCUAGGAGCUCCUGCUGCAUGGUGGGGGUUGGAAAGUUUCGGCGGUUGGGGAUGGAAUCGCGGCUUAUCAGCUUGUUGGUGGGGUAGUGGCUUACCAAGGCUUUGACGGGUAGCCGGCCUGAGAGGGUGACCGGCCACAUUGGGACUGAAAUACGGCCCAGACUCCUACGGGAGGCAGCAGUGGGGAAUAUUGCACAAUGGGCGGAAGCCUGAUGCAGCAACGCAGCGUGCGGGAUGACGGCCUUCGGGUUGUAAACCGCUUUCGCCUGUGACGAAGCGUGAGUGACGGUAAUGGGUAAAGAAGCACCGGCUAACUACGUG
This 468-nucleotide ribosomal RNA is filed under the name uncultured bacterium. RNAcentral describes it as "partial 16S ribosomal RNA". It matches the Rfam family "Bacterial small subunit ribosomal RNA", at positions 28 to 507 of the family's 1533-position model. The record is from RNAcentral.